Molecule: ribosomal RNA, 437 nt
Filed under: uncultured bacterium
Lineage: Bacteria
Description: partial 16S ribosomal RNA
Rfam family: Bacterial small subunit ribosomal RNA
Source: RNAcentral
AGCGAACGCUGGCGGCAGGCUUAACACAUGCAAGUCGAGCGGGCAUCCUUGUGGUGUCAGCGGCAGACGGGUGAGUAACGCGUGGGAACGUGCCCUUCGGUUCGGAAUAACUCAGGGAAACUUUAGCUAAUACCGGAUACGUGCGAGAGCAGAAAGGUUUAUCUGCCGAAGGAUCGGCCCGCGUCUGAUUAGCUAGUUGGUGAGGUUACGGCUCACCAAGGCGACGAUCAGUAGCUGGUCUGAGAGGAUGAUCAGCCACACUGGGACUGAGACACGGCCCAGACUCCUACGGGAGGCAGCAGUGGGGAAUAUUGGACAAUGGGGGCAACCCUGAUCCAGCCAUGCCGCGUGAGUGAUGACGGCCUUAGGGUUGUAAAGCUCUUUUCUCCGGGACGAUAAUGACGGUACCGGAGGAAUAAGCCCCGGCUAACUUCGUG